RNAcentral lists this ribosomal RNA (253 nucleotides) under uncultured bacterium. RNAcentral's name for it is "partial 16S ribosomal RNA". It matches the Rfam family "Bacterial small subunit ribosomal RNA", at positions 524 to 776 of the family's 1533-position model. The record is from RNAcentral.
UACGAAGGGGGCUAGCGUUGCUCGGAAUCACUGGGCGUAAAGCGCACGUAGGCGGAUCUUUAAGUCAGGGGUGAAAUCCCAAGGCUCAACCUUGGAACUGCCUUUGAUACUGCAAAUCUCGAGUCCGAUAGAGGUGGGUGGAAUUCCUAGUGUAGAGGUGAAAUUCGUAGAUAUUAGGAAGAACACCGGUGGCGAAGGCGGCCCACUGGAUCGGUACUGACGCUCAUGCACGAAAGCGUGGGGAGCAAACAGG